RNAcentral lists this ribosomal RNA (465 nucleotides) under Vreelandella stevensii. RNAcentral describes it as "partial 16S ribosomal RNA". It matches the Rfam family "Bacterial small subunit ribosomal RNA", at positions 338 to 795 of the family's 1533-position model. Lineage: Bacteria; Pseudomonadati; Pseudomonadota; Gammaproteobacteria; Oceanospirillales; Halomonadaceae. The record is from RNAcentral.
CCUACUGGAGGCUGCAGUGGGGAAUAUUGGACAAUGGGCGAAAGCCUGAUCCAGCCAUGCCGCGUGUGUGAAGAAGGCCUUCGGGUUGUAAAGCACUUUCAGUGGGGAAGAAAGCCUUGGGGCUAAUACCCUCGAGGAAGGACAUCACCCACAGAAGAAGCACCGGCUAACUCCGUGCCAGCAGCCGCGGUAAUACGGAGGGUGCGAGCGUUAAUCGGAAUUACUGGGCGUAAAGCGCGCGUAGGCGGUCUGAUAAGCCGGUUGUGAAAGCCCCGGGCUCAACCUGGGAACGGCAUCCGGAACUGUCAGGCUAGAGUGCAGGAGAGGAAGGUAGAAUUCCCGGUGUAGCGGUGAAAUGCGUAGAGAUCGGGAGGAAUACCAGUGGCGAAGGCGGCCUUCUGGACUGACACUGACGCUGGGGUGCGAAAGCGUGGGUAGCAAACAGGAUUAGAUACCCCGGUAGUC